GUAUAAGCGGGAGGGCCAGAGGGAGAGAGAAUCUGAAGCAGACUCUGUGCUGAGUGUGGAGCUGAGGCCGAGCUCGAUCCCAGGACCCUGAGAUCAUCACCUGGGCUGAAGUCAGAUGCUGCAUGGACUGAGCCUUCCAGGGUCCCCGACAUCGACACAAGGAAACUGAUGCUUUGGGACCAGAGACACUUGUUUGAGGACACACAGAUGCUUGGUGCAUCUGUCACCACCGAGGGCCGGCUGAGAAGAAGCUCCCUCUGUGUUCCCCCGUCCCUCUCUGUAAGGCCGGUAGAUCCUAGCCCAUGGGGAGCCCCAUCGCGUGACUGUAAGCCUGGGCCCGCAGAUCUGGGAAGAGCUCAGAAAUUACCCACGCUGGAUUUCUCUGGAAGGACCCUUGGCUCCUGGGCGACAAGUCCGGCUCUCUCGAGGCCAGCAUCCCGAGAAGAAGCCAAGACCACCUAACGAAGCUUGCCCGAGGCUCUGGUCUCAGCCCCAGCUGAAGCCACCAAGCUGGCUUGUGCAGAUGCCUUUUGAUGUUUCCAGCUCCCCGAUGGUGUGACAUUCCACUGAGACUUCCCAGCGGAGGCCCAGGCAUCGUGGAUCCGGCCCAAGCCACCCUAGCUGGGCUCCGUCCCAAUUCCCGACUCACAGAAUUACGGAGCAUAAUAAA
Long non-coding RNA from Mustela lutreola (European mink), 670 nucleotides. RefSeq lists it as uncharacterized. NCBI's taxonomy places the organism in Eukaryota, Metazoa, Chordata, Mammalia, Carnivora, Mustelidae. The transcript is spliced from 4 exons. The record is from RefSeq and is a predicted model, not a curated record.